RNAcentral lists this long non-coding RNA (1196 nucleotides) under Homo sapiens (human). Its description in RNAcentral is "HSALNT0295310". Lineage: Eukaryota; Metazoa; Chordata; Mammalia; Primates; Hominidae. The record is from RNAcentral.
AUGCCGGAGCGAGGGUCGACUGUCCGUCUGUCGCAGUCGGGUGGUGUGCUUGCUUCCAAGUCUGGAGUUGGCUGGUUCAAGCUCGUUCUACUGAGCGUUUCUUGCAUUUUAAAAAUGCUUAAACCGCUGGCAACUUUCUUCUACCCAGCACAUUCUCUCAUGGAAUGGCAGAGCAAGACCAACUUUACCCGCCUCUCCUCCGUGUCUCCCAUACGACAUGAGGACGUAAAUCAAGAUCUGGAUUUUCAUCUGGUAUUGGAUUCCUUCUGCCCGGAAGACUCCUUUGACGUUUCUGUAGUGUGGGUCAGCUGGUAGUGAAUUCGGUCAGCUUAUGCAUAAGAAGUUAAAAGCAAGAUCUGAUCCCUGGCGUUUUCCAGGAACUCAAAAGAGGUGUAGGAGGAGAGAAGCUCAAUUAUCACCCUGGUCUCCUGGAGUAUCCCAGGCACAGUCCCAGGAGUUCAGCUUUUCAUACUCGAGUUCCUGGGUCCUGAAGGCCUUUUUGGGGAAAGUACUGAUGUUCGUGUCAAGGUUGGGAAGAAAGGGUUUGGGAGGAACCAAGCAACAGGGAGGCAAAGAGAAGACAUCAACAAGCGAGGCAAGAACUUUCCACAGGCUCACACUGGAUACAGGACCAGAGACAAGAAGCUGGCAGUGUGGUGGGGAGGCCAUGGCAAUCAUUAGCUCUGGAGGCCUGAGGAGGACACUCUGAAGAGGAAAGCCCCGCGAUCAUCCGGUUUCACCCCUGUUUUCAUCUACUCUUUUCCUCAGCGAAGCCUAUAUGGGUUCCCGAUGUCACAUCGCAGCUACCGCAUUGGAGGGUUAAGAGCCGCUGACAAAUCUCUUUCGGGAAGGGAAGAAGAGUUCCAAACAAAAGAUCUACUACCCUGAGAAGCGGUGAAGUGCUCCUGGGGCCCACCAAGGCCACACAAGUCAAGGAGUGGAUGGCCUUGCCCCAGCUAUGGCUCAGAUCACCUUUGCAGGAUGACAUCUUGUUGGGAGAUGGUCAUCAGAGACAGGGCCAUGGAAGACGCUGUCAGGAGGAGGCACAGAGGAAAGGCUAUGGGAGCACAAAGCAAGAAAGUGGCCUUCUGCAAGCCAGGAAGAGAGGCCUCCCCAGAAACCAACUCUACCAGCACAUCGAUCUUGGACUUUUGGCCUCUAGAACAUUGAGAAAAUAAAAGUCUGCUGUUAAACCA